Molecule: ribosomal RNA, 478 nt
Filed under: uncultured Methylophilaceae bacterium
Lineage: Bacteria; Pseudomonadati; Pseudomonadota; Betaproteobacteria; Nitrosomonadales; Methylophilaceae
Description: bacterial SSU rRNA
Rfam family: Bacterial small subunit ribosomal RNA
Source: RNAcentral
GCGGAAUGCUUUACACAUGCAAGUCGAACGGCAGCACGGGUACUUGUACCUGGUGGCGAGUGGCGAACGGGUGAGUAAUAUAUCGGAACGUAUCCAUUAAUGGGGGAUAACUAAUCGAAAGGUUGGCUAAUACCGCAUACGUCCUACGGGAGAAAGCAGGGGAUCUUCGGACCUUGCGUUAAUGGAGCGGCCGAUAUCUGAUUAGCUAGUUGGUGAGGUAAAAGCUCACCAAGGCGACGAUCAGUAGCUGGUCUGAGAGGACGACCAGCCACACUGGAACUGAGACACGGUCCAGACUCCUACGGGAGGCAGCAGUGGGGAAUUUUGGACAAUGGGCGAAAGCCUGAUCCAGCCAUUCCGCGUGAGUGAAGAAGGCCUUCGGGUUGUAAAGCUCUUUCGCAAGGGAAGAAAACUUACUUUCUAAUAAAGAGUGAGGCUGACGGUACCUUGAUAAGAAGCACCGGCUAACUACGUGCCA